GUCACGACCCAAAAUUCAAUAUCGUGACCGGCGCUCGAACUAAGACAUCCUAGUCCGGCAAGCCUAUUGACGACCCUUGACAAACUAUAAUUUAAACAAUUUUCAAACUGACUUUCACUUAGAAUGAUAUACACUGAAAUUUUGACAAAGUAUUCUCUAUAUUUUGAAUACUUUCCAAGAUAUGAAUCCUGUCUAUAUACUUGUAUUAUCAGCAGAAUCCCAAAGUGACAUAACUAGAUGUUUAUACAACUCAAAACAAAACAUUUGUCGACUACCAAUAGCUGCAGAUACAUCAACCAUUCAGUUUAUACAUAGAGGAGACCUACCAAAAGAAUGACGUUGACAGAUCUUUAACUCUGCUACAAGCUUUCUACGCACUUGACUUUGAAUCUGAAAAAUGUAAGAAGAAGGGGUAAGUAAUAAAGACUUAGUGAGGAGACAACAAUCACCACCAACUAGAAGGGAAACACACAAGGGCACGAUCAUUUACUUUAUCAAAUCUAUUGUCAAUUUACAAAAAUGGUAACCGUAUAAAAUGAUAUUAAUCCGCAAUCGUUUAUACGCCUGAAAUUUACACAUGUAUAAAUAUUUUCAAUCAAGUAAGAAUAAUUCAAAAAAAAUCCAACAUCAUAAAGAGGUGAAAAUAAAGUUACAAGCCUUUAAAAAUACAUUGAUGAAAAUCUUAAUGGAUGCUUUUAAAGAAAUUAUAGAAAACUCCGUUUAGUGAAAACAAUCAACUUCAAAUAGAAUAUAAAAUCACAUUCAGUUUAAUAACACCAAAAUAAUCAACUUUAUAGAAAGUAUUGAAAUCCAACUUUAAUGAAAAUAACCAAAUGGGUGAAUCGAGAACUAGCUCCAUCUCGUUGAUAGCCCUCUCCUCCUAAUGGUGGCCUUCCUAUGGGGCGGCUCCAUCUAACGGAUAGCUCUUUUCUCUCGACUCAAAACAAAGUGUAAACAUUUUCAAUUAGGGAGUUUACAUCUCAUUGAUAGCCCUCUCCUCCUAAUGGCGGCCUUUCCAUUGGGGCGGCUCCAUCUAAUGGAGUAACUACCUAAUCGAAGUCACAUACUAGGUGCACCUAGGUCGUCGUCAUUAUAAUCGUAAUUUUCAAAACCUCAUUCUUAAAACACAUGUCUAAAACCAUAUUUCGCAACAUAACGAAACUUAUAUCAACAUACGUUCAUCAAAAUUCAAUUGAAAAUCUACCACUUGUAGUCAUAAGUAAAUCCAAAUCAAAUCCACAUCGAAUAAAUAUUAAUACCAACAUCUUUGAAAAAAAAAAAAAAAAAAAAAAAACACAAUUCCAAAACCAUGCUUUAGAACAUAUCAAAACUAGUGCACAAAAUAUAUGCAAUCAAAUCUCCAUUUCAAAUCCAAAACUUUAUAAAUCAUAAGUAGCGUCAAAGUGAGUAUAUAUUAAUAUCGAAAAUUCCCAAAAACAUAUCUCUCAAAACCGUAUUUCUCCAUAUCUCAAAACUCAUGUCAUAGUAUAUGCAAUCAAACCUCUAUUUUCAAAUCAUUUUAAUCAAUAAGUCAUAGAUAAAUCCAAAUAGAGACCAUAUUAAUAUUCACGACCUUAAACAUAAUUUCAACAACAAGAAAAAUAUUGAAAGGGUGUGUUCCCCAUUUUUUAUAAAUACUUUAACUUAUAAAAUAACCAAAAUAUCAAUAAUAACGAUAAUUAAAAUAAGUGAUAAUCGUCAUCAACUCACUGUUACGACGAAUCAACUAUGUUUGUGUGAUGAACCAGAGUGAUGAAGAGAUAGAUUAUGGGCCAGCAAUAGAUGAGCCCAGUCCACAAGGCUGGUCCAAAAGGAACAAAGUCCAACCCAAGUGGCUCAAGGACUAUGUCACCAAUGAAGGGAAAACAAGGAAAACGGCUAAGACAGCUAAUCAUCCAAGGAAGGAUCUAGAAUAGGAUGAGUCAUAGUCACAUCUGUUAAAAUAAGGCUUCAAUAGUACUAGUGUGCCAGUCUGUUAGAAUAUGCUCUUUCUCUAACAAAGGGAAAGGACUAUAUAAUGUAUUAUUGACCCAAUAAAUAAAACAGAUGAGUAUUGAAGAAAGUUGUUUUUAGUUAUUACUUCUUUUUCCUUUUCCUUAUUCUCUGAUCUUGUUCUGCUUAACAAAUUCACCAUCUUACAAUUGGUGCUUUCAUUUGUUAACCAUGUCCUCACCUCCCAAAGAUGACCUUCUCCAACGUAUCCUUCUUAGCCAACAACAAUUCCAUGAACAAAUCCUAACCCUCACCACCGAAAUGAAUCAAUGGCGAAACCGAUUCGGUCCUCUUGGAUUCACUCCAACCGGACCUGACAUUACACCACUCUCAACAACCGCCAUGAAACUCGACAUUCCACGCUUCGACGGAACCGACGCACCGGGAUGGAUCUUCAAGAUAACUCAGUUCUUCGAUUUUCAUCGAACACCAGAAGACCAACGCCUCCGCAUAGCUUCGUUUUAUAUGGAGGGUGAAGCUUUAACAUGGUUUCAAUGGAUGCACUCGAAUUCCCAAUUGCCAUCCUGGUCCGGAUUUCUCCUUGCUUUGGAAUCCAGGUUCGCUCCUUCACUCUACAAAGACCCACAAGGUGAACUUUUUAAAUUGUGUCAAACUACUACUGUCAAUGCUUAUCAAAGCCAAUUUGAAACCUUAGCAAACAGAAUCAUUGGCCUUCCCCCCAAUUUUUACCUUAGCUGCUUUGUUUAUGGACUCAAACCUGAGAUCCGGAGAGAAGUUCAAGCUUUUCAACCCAUGACUUUGACACAAGCCAUCAGCCUAGCCAAGUUACAAGAAGAGAAGAUCCUAGAUCGUUCUGUUCCUUCCAAACCCAAAUACGCCUACCCUUCAAACCCAAACACCACCACAACACCACCAUCCUCAACUUCCUUUCGUCUUACCUUAUCAGUUACACCACCAAAACCCCCUACACCCAUCAAACGAUUAUCACCAGCUGAACUUCAAGCCCGUCGAGACAAAAACCUCUGCUACAAUUGCGACGAAAAAUACACACCAGGUGUUAUACCCUAUUUUUGGACCUAAAAAUACUGGGCCCAAUUUCAUUUCAAACUUUGUCAGUUAUCAAAUUUCAACUGCACAGUUCAAUUUGUCUCUGCCUCGCAGUAUUUUCCAUCACAAUUUUACCUAUGUUUUUCUUGCAUAAAACUUUUCAAAAUGUCUUUACUUGUCUUGUAAGGCAUUCAAAAGUGUCUCUGAAUCAUUACAUUGCUUUUUCUACAGUUUAUUUCAAAAUUUGCAAAAAAGUCAUACAGAAGGGUAUUUUGGUCAUUUCCUGCAGUGGGACCCAUUUUCAUCCUUGUGACUGUCUCUGAGUCUUUUCAGAUUGUUUUUUAACAUUUCAUCAGUAAACCCUGUUAAAUUCAUUUCAAACUUGCGUCUGAGUCAGUGUUAAGUCAAUUUCAAUCUGUUUAGGUCAUUUUUAGCCCUAGGGGCAUUUUGGUCAUUUCACACAAAAUUUUGGCAUAGAGAGGUUACUUUGAAGUACCUCAUUUAGGCCGUUGGUUCGUUUUAGUCCGUUUUGUCAAUUUUAUUUUAGUUUCACUUUACGUUUUGUCAGGUUACCAAUUUUAUUCCAAUUUUAUUUUUUUAUUUUAUUUUACAUUUUGGUCCCCAAAGAGGUCCAAAAUUGCAUCCCAGUCCAAUUUUCUUUCCAAUUUACAUUUCAGUCCUUUUUGGUUAAUUGCAGUUUAGUCCUUAAAAUUCUUAUUUUUGCAGAAAGGUCCAAAUUUCAUUUUUUGUCCAAGGCCGUGCCAUUCUUUUUUUUCAGGUCCAGGUGUCACUUUCUCAUUUGUUCGGAAGCACACAUGUCAAGCUAUAAAAGGUGUACAGUGCCACACAGACCCAUUAAUCACACGCCAACUCAUAAACACAAUCAGAUUCUCUCUCUCCAUUCAGUUGGAUCAGAAACAGAAAAUUUCUCAGAAUUUCUCAAGAACACCAAGAACAAAAAACCCUAACCGUUUUCCAGAAACUCAAAAAUUCAUCAGAAUCAACAAUUUUCGCAUCAAUCCUCAGAGAUUCGUGUGAAUCUUCAUCACCGGAUUGAAGAAUUCUCCUACAAUUCAAAGUGCGAGCUCACAUUGAAGCAAGCUCAAGCACUGAUCAUAGGGAUUUUUCACGCAGAUUCAAGGAGUAUUGAAGCAAGCUCAAACACGAAAUCACAGAGAGAGAAGUAGAGGAAGAAUCAGAGAAGAUGAAGAAGCAGAACCGGUAAACCGAUUUAUUUUCGGUCCAAAAGCAAGCAAAAUCAUCAAAAUCAUCAAGAACAGAAUCAAAGUUUUCCAAAGAUUUCCUCCAUUAAAGGUUUCAACCAGAACCUUAGGUAAAACUCAUAAUCUCUUUUCAAGAAGUGUUAAUCAUAGUUUAAACCGGUAAAAAAAAUCACGCAAGCAAAACAGAUCCAAAAUUUCCAGAAUUCAAAGAAAACCGUAACCGUAAGCACGAAACCUAGAUCCGUAAGGAUCUAAGUUUUGAAAACAAGAACAAGCACCAGAGAAGCAGUAAACAACGAAACGAUGUAGAUCCGUGAAGAUCUAAACCUUUUCUUUCAAAAAAUCAAAGAAAAUCAAUUUUCAAAACCGUACGAAAUUUUCAGAUCUACAUCGCAUCAAGCUGUGUUUGGGAAAAUGAUUGCUGGAUUCGUGUUUAGGGUUAAAGGACGAAUCAAAAGACGUAAAAAUCUUUAAGUUCUGGAAAUUUUUCACCGGAAACUGCAUGAACUCACCGGAAACUGCAUGAACUCGCCGGAGAAGAUGAAGUUUCCGGCGGACCUUCAAGGUCUCCGCCGUAGCUUCAUCCUCGCCGGCGGCGAGGUUAGAGAGAGGUGGGAGAUGAGAGAAGAGAGAAGAAUUUAGAGAGAGAAAGGAAAGUGUGAAAUGAUUUAAACCGGUCCCCCUUCACUUUUAUAGCCAGUGAACCGGACCGGUCCAGAACCGGUCCAUUCCCCUUUGAUUCCUGGCCGUUUGAUCUAGGGUUUCAGGAUCCUGGAUCAAUCGUGUGGUUCCUGUGCAUCUGGACCUUGUAGUUUUGGGCUUUGGUUUGGGCUCAAGUUUCUUUUACGUUUUUUUUGCUUUUUUGCUACUUGCACCAUACUUGCCUGCUGUUUGCACCCUUUGUUCAUGUUAAUUUUUAUCAAUAAAUUCCAAGAAAUUUACCAUGUCAUUUUACUAUUUUUCUUGAUAAUUUUCAGUGGUAUUUUGCUUGGAAAAGUUGGUAAAAAUUUUAGUGUUGUUUUGUCAAGGGUUUUUACUAUUUUAAGUCACUUUUCUCGCAUUUUUACCUGUUACUUCAUGUGCAUAAUGUUCGUGUUCGUCAUGUUUGAUUUGCAUACUAUUCCAUAUGAAUUUUGCUACUGUUUGCUAUGCAUAUGUCACUGUUUUGAUGUGUUGAGUUUUGUUCUUGCAUCAUGUGCAUUAUUCAUUACAUGUUUCCGGCUUAUUUUCAUCGUCACUUUACCGUUUUAUGCCGUACUUUCUUCCAUCGCUUCAUGCCAUAUUCUUUCUUUUUUUACCAUUUUCUACUAACAUUUCCUUUCAUAUUGAUCACUUCAUAGCACUUCACCAUCUUCACUAUUGUCUCCAUUAGUUUAGUUUUCUUUUUUUGCAAAUUGUAAUUCAUUCGGUGAUGUAAUAUUUUACCAUUGGUUUGUAGCUUGGCAAAGGGGCCAUAGAAUGUAUUUAGGGAAUUUUUGUAAUAUGGACUAUGGACACUAUGACGCACUGGCACGCACACACUCACCUUAGAUGUAUGCAUAGGAUUGUAUGGUUAGAUAAGCGCUUAGGCUUAAACACUUAGAAAAAAAAUCAACUUUUCCAAGACAUGCAAAUAACCUCACUUGAAAACUUUUUAAGAAAAAAAUAAAAUGGAGUCAAAACUCCAAUAACUUUUCCCUUUUAUUUUCUUAAGUAAAAUUUUCAAUAAAUCCUAAUCCUCCUUGGACUUUACUUUUGCAAAAUGACUAAUUCCACCUCACACUUUCCAAAUCUUAUGCCCUUGAGGCCUCUCAUCUCUAUUCUUCAAAAUCUCUUUUCAAACUUAAAAUCAACCAACGAAAACAAAAACCAUUUUUGAGAAUGAACUACGAACGGUUUUGAUCCCUUAAAAGGGUACGUAGGCAAUGAGUCAAAACUCAUCCAAGCCGAAGUAAAAAUCAAAUUCUGCUUCUUCUCACCCCCAUUCUUCACUAAUCAUACCUCCCCUUUUUUUACAAAUAAGCAAUAAAAUUAAAGCGUAGAAAUAGACUUAGGAGAGCGGUUCUUAUGGAAUACCAUAAUCGCUCCGGGUGCCUAACACCUUCCCGUAGCGAAAACGACCCCCGAAUCUAGAACUUUUUAAGGGUUUUUCUCCUUUUACCCUUCCCAAGAAAAAAGAGAGAUAUCGACGGUCAAAAGGUUCAAGUCCAAUUAAUGGCUUGGCACCCAAAAACCAUGAUAACAGAAAUGGCGACUUCACUGGGGACUUUUUUUUAGCGGGUCGCGCCUAGUUUUCCUUAGUUUAUAUUUACGCUUUGUUUUAUUGCUUACAUAUGUAAAUACUUGUUUACUUUCAUUUAACGUGUGGGGUGAGAAUAUCAAAAGUCCUAUACCCGGGCUGAGUGAACUUAUGAUUAGGUAGAGAUAUAAUCGACAAUUCGAUCCGGGGGUUGCCUCGUGUAUUGGAUUAUGCGAUCAAUCUCACAUAGCUGAGACAUUUUGAAGGUGAUAUUGUCGGCGUGUGUUGUCAUGCUUAGGCACUUCACUUUCAAUUGUUCGACGAAGCUAUGAACCGUAGUUACCAAACCCAUCCUAGCCUUUUUAGGACGUAGUGCGGUGGCUAAAUUGAGUGUUGUCUCAAACUUUAGUCGUCACGCGAUACUACACUCAAACUAGACCUUCUCACAAAUAAUCAUGGAACGGGUGUCGUCCUGUACUACCAUGAUAUAUGUGAGAGAGGUUGCAGUUUGGGAACUGUGUUAGAACCUUGGUUACUACUAUCCAAAGCCUUAGUUCACCGGACGCCGUGUCCAUCCGUGGCCCUGUUACUUUGAAUCUCAACCCACCUUGUUCUUUGUAACUAAACAAAACAACCAUGCAUACAUGCAUUCAUGCAUAAGUUUUUUUUUCACGCAUACAUCGAAGAUUGUUUUAGACAGAUCGAAACAUUGUAAGACACCGCAGGUGUGAACUUGUAUUCAUAAGUUUACCAUUGUAAAACCUUAUUUUGCUUGUUUAACAGUGUUUACAAUGUUUCGAAUUUGUUUAAAAAGUCCUUCGAUGACAUUAAAAAGAGUCGUUUUUGCAUUUGCAUCUGCAUAUCAUGCAUCAUAUGCAUCAUACAUCGGUCACAAAGGCUUCCAAUUGUUCACUACUUCCUGGUUCCUCUGCCACAGUUUGAAAAGUGGCUCGUGCUCAGAAGGUCUACGAACCUGAUAGAAUCGAUCGAACCAGAGAGUACAGAAGAAGGAAAAAGGCUAUGGAAGAAGAGAACGCUCAGCUCCGUACCGAGUUAGCCACUCUAAGGGAGGAAUUGGCUAAAGCUAAUGAUGUCAUGACUGCUCUGCUAGCCGCUCAAGAACAAUCAGCUACGGCUAUCCCUAUAGCCACAGCUGCACCGGUGACUACAAGCGUGCUCCCAACCACAUCUGCAGACGCUCGCUUUGCUAUGACAGCUGGGUUUCCGUAUGGGCUUCCACCGUUCUUCACUCCCAGUACUGCAGCUGGCGUUUCUGGUACUGUCAAUAAUGGCCAGAUUCCUGGGAAGAACCAUGUCUCUGUCAAUACCACCUUGCCUCAGACAACGGCCACUCUGGAUCGAUUGAGCUAUCGGGGAACUCCCUUGGGAAUGAGCACCUUUCUGGUUAAAGCCUUCGACGGAUCCCGUAAGAACAUUCUUGGGGAGAUAGAUCUGCCAAUAACUAUCUGUCCCGAAACCUUUCUGAUCACGUUCCAGGUCAUGGACAUCAAUGCUGCUCAGCUACCUCCGUCGUACACGUAUGCGCAAUACUCUCAGCAUCCCUUCUUUCCACCAUUCUAUCAUCAGUACCCUCUGCCACCGGGUCAACCUCAAGUGCCCGUCAAUGCAAUCGCCCAACAGAUGAAACAACAGUUGCCGGUUCAACAACAACAACAAAAUCAGCAAGCCAGACCUACUUUCCCUCCGAUACCGAUGUUAUAUGCUGAGUUGCUUCCAACUUUACUCCAAAGAGGGCAUUGUACAACUAGACAGGGUAAGCCCCCACCUGAUCCGUUGCCUCCAAGGUUCAGGUCUGAUCUCAAAUGUGACUUUCAUCAAGGUGCCUUAGGUCAUGAUGUCGAGGGGUGUUAUGCUUUGAAGUAUAUCGUGAAGAAGCUCAUUGAUCAAGGGAAGCUGACUUUUGAGAACAACGUCCCUCAUGUCGUCGACAAUCCUCUUCCGAAUCACGCUGCUGUAAACAUGAUUGAGGUAUAUGAGGAAGCUCCCAGAUCGGACGUUUGUAACGUUGCAACUCCUCUGGUGCCACUACACAUCGAGUUAUGCCAAGCCUCUCUGUUUGACCAUGAUCAUGCCAGUUGCCCAGAAUGCUUCCAUAAUCCUUGGGGUUGCUACGUUGUUCAGAAUGACAUCCAGAAACUGAUGAACGACAAUUAUCUGACUGUCAAUGACAUCCAAGAAGGACAAGCUGCUGGCUGGGGCAAGUUAAUACAACUCCUUGAGAAUAAGCAUAAAGAGGGUCUCGGAUAUUCCCCAACUUCAGGAGUCUCCACAUGAAUCUUCUACAGUGCUGAGUUUAUCAAUGCAAUUACUGAAGAGGCGACUGGAUGUAGUCCUAGGCCUAUGUUUGUUAUACCAGGAGGCAUUGCGAGAAAUUGUGAUGCCAUCAACAUUCAUUCAAUCAUGCAUGUUUCCGAAUAAUGUGUCUUGUUGCUUAAGUGUUUUGUUUUUCAAAAUAACCAUCCUCUCGCUCUGCCCGAAGCGAAAGUGAUAUUUCUGGAAGGGCGUGUUUGUUUCGGCAUCGCCGUUAUUAACAAAAAUCGUCGUUUCUUUCACGACUUUUAUUUUUUAGUGAUUUUUUUUUUUUCUUUUUUUCUUGGAAAUAAUGGUAAUACCAGAAAAAACCAAAACAUCUUUAUUUUUCUUAUCAAUUUCAAAGAACUGCAUAAAAGAGAAAAAAAAAAAACCAUUUUCUAAAAUCAUUCAACCAUUCUAUGCAGUUUGAACCAUAAUAAACCCGUUGAACACAGUAAUCCUACGGUUCCUCCAAAUUUUGAAUUCCCUGUGUAUGAAGCCGAAGAUGAAGAGGAUGAUGAUGUACCAUAUGAGAUCACUCGACUGCUUGAGCAAGAAUCAGCCUAUUGUAUGGAACGAUGAAUGCCAAGAAGCUUUUGAUAGCAUCAAGAAUUACCUGCUGGAACCACCUAUCCUUGUCCCACCCGUGGAAGGAAGGCCUUUGAUCAUGUAUUUGGCAGUAUUUGAUGAAUCCAUGGGAUGCGUGCUUGGUCAACAAGAUGAAACUGGAAAGAAAGAGCAUGCUAUCUACUAUCUGAGCAAGAAGUUCACCGACUGUGAAACUCGGUAUACAAUGCUUGAGAAGACUUGUUGUGCCCUAGCUUGGGCUGCCAAACGCCUGCGUCAUUAUUUGGUGAAUCAUACAACUUGGUUGAUAUCCAGAAUGGAUCCGAUAAAGUAUAUCUUUGAGAAAGCUGCUGUUACUGGAAAGAUUGCACGCUGGCAGAUGCUUUUGUCUGAGUAUGAUAUUGUGUUCAAAACUCAAAAGGCAAUCAAAGGUAGCAUUCUUGCCGAUCACCUUGCUUAUCAACCUCUUGAUGAUUAUCAACCAAUUGAGUUCGAUUUCCCCGAUGAAGAGAUCAUGUAUUUGAAAUCAAAAGACUGCGAAGAACCGUUGAUUAAUGAAGGUCCAGAUCCCAAUAGCAGGUGGGGUUUAGUCUUUGAUGGUGCUGUCAAUGCUUAUGGUAAAGGAAUUGGGGCAGUCAUUGUAUCCCCGCAGGGGCAUCAUAUUCCUUUUACCGCCCGAAUUUUGUUUGAAUGUACCAACAACAUGGCUGAGUAUGAAGCAUGUAUCUUCGGGAUCGAGGAAGCAAUUGACAUGAGAAUCAAGCACCUCGACAUCUAUGGAGAUUCGGCGCUCGUCAUCAAUCAGAUAAAGGGUGAAUGGGAGACCCAUCAUGCUAAGUUGAUUCCUUAUCGGGAUUAUGCGAGACGUCUUCUGACAUAUUUUACAAAGGUUGAGCUGCACCAUAUUCCUCGUGAUGAGAACCAAAUGGCUGAUGCUCUUGCUACUCUAUCCUCCAUGUUUCGAGUAAACCAUUGGAAUGAUGUGCCAGUAAUCAAAGUGCAGCGCCUUGAAAGACCUUCACAUGUGUUUGCUAUUGGGGAUGUGAUCGAUCAGGCUGGUGAAAAUGUGGUUGACUAUAGACCCUGGUACUACGACAUCAAACAGUUCUUGCUGAGCCGUGAGUAUCCGUCGGGUGCUUCCAAACAAGAUAAGAAGACCCUGAGAAGAUUGGCCAGUAGAUUCCUGUUAGAUGGAGAUAUUCUGUACAAGAGAAACUAUGACAUGGUAUUGUUAAGAUGUGUUGAUGAACACGAGGCAGAGCAGUUAAUGCAUGAUGUACAUGACGGUACCUUCGGGACCCAUGCUACAGGGCAUACUAUGUCAAGGAAGUUGUUACGAGCAGGUUACUACUGGAUGGCCAUGGAGCAUGAUUGCUACCAGUACGCCAGAAAAUGCCACAAAUGUCAAAUCUAUGCUGAUAAGAUUCAUGUGCCUCCGCACGCUCUCAAUGUUAUGUCAUCCCCAUGGCCGUUCUCAAUGUGGGGCAUCGACAUGAUUGGAAGAAUUGAACCGAAAGCUUCAAAUGGUCAUCGUUUCAUCUUAGUGGCAAUUGACUACUUUACCAAGUGGGUUGAAGCAGCAUCUUAUACCAAUGUGACCAAGCAAGUGGUAGCUAAGUUCAUCAAGAACAACAUCAUUUGUCGAUAUGGUGUUCCCAGCAAGAUUAUUACCGACAAUGGUACCAACCUGAAUAACAAUGUGGUGCAAGCUCUUUGUGAAGAAUUCAAAAUUGAGCAUCAUAACUCUUCUCCCUAUAGACCUCAGAUGAAUGGUGCAGUUGAGGCCGCCAACAAGAAUAUCAAGAGAAUUGUCCAGAAGAUGGUAACCACUUACAAGGACUGGCAUGAGAUGUUACCCUAUGCUCUGCAUGGCUACCGUACUACCAUGCGCAGUUCAACCGGGGCAACCCCUUUCUCUCUUGUAUAUGGUAUGGAAGCAGUUCUUCCUUUGGAAGUGGAGAUCCCAUCUCUCCGUGUGAUCAUGGAAGCAAAGUUAUCUGAGGCUGAAUGGUGCCAAAGCCGGUAUGAUCAGUUGAAUUUGAUUGAGGAAAAAACGUAUGGAUGCCAUGGCUCGUGGACAGUCAUAUCAAGCAAGAAUGAAGACUGCCUUUGACAAGAAAGUCCAUCCUCGAGAAUUCAAGGUAGGGGAACUGGUAUUGAAAAGGAGGGUAAGCCAGCAACCCGACCCAAGGGGCAAGUGGACGCCUAACUAUGAAGGUCCUUAUGUUGUCAAGAAGGCCUUCUCCGGUGGUGCUUUAAUCCUUACGCACAUGGAUGGUGUAGAACUUCCAAAUCCAGUGAAUGCCGAUAUAGUCAAGAAAUACUUUGCCUAGAAAUAUGAAAAGAACAGCGUGGUAGGUCGAAAACCCGAAAGGGCGGCCUAGGCAAAAAUGCGCUUCCCGGUGGAUCGAAAACCCGAAAGGGCGGUCCAGGCAAAAAUAAGGGACAAAACAAAUAUGAAAAGCUCGCUGAGAUUGUACGCAACUCAGGCAAGAAUGAGCGUCUCGAUGAGCCGAAAACCCGAAAGGGCGGUUCAUGCAAAAAUGAGAUUGAAACAAAAGGCAAGUAACUAUAUCUGGCCAACCACCGUCCCCCUUGGGGCAUCUGCUGCCGUUGAUGACUAUCUUCAUCUAAAGCUCCUACGCUUGCGAAUUCAAAGUUUUCAGGAAAUGUAAUGAUUGCUGUGUUCAAUGUACCACCAACCAAUAAAAUUACCAUUUUCCAAGCUUUGUGAAUCCGUGGAGUCAUGCCUUUGGCUGACCACCACUCUUAUACAUCAAUUUGAGCCUUUGCUUUUGUUUGAAAACUCUAUUUUUUCUUCUACUUUCAAAGCUAUAUACAAAACAUUUUCUUUCUAUUUUGAUAAUGACAAUGCUUGAAACAAACAUUUUGAAAAUUGAAAACUUUUUGUCUAUUUUGAAAAGCAAACCUGAGCAACAGGGUACAUUCAAAUGAAACAUGCAUGAGUGAGAGUAUGUUGAUGUCUAUUUCAAUAUGUGUUACAAGCAGGUUCUCCUCCAGGAUAGUCUGUGGUCAAUGGCAAGAAUGAAAAAACAGAAUGAAAAUGCAUGAAAAUGAAAAGGCUCGCUAAGUUGAAAACCCGGAAGGGCGGCUUAGGCAAGAAUGAGCACCCCGCUGGAUUGAAAACCCGAAAGGGCAGUUCAGGCAAAAAUGGGGCAUUGAAAAGAAUUUAUUUCCCCGGUGGAUCGAAAACCCGAAAGGGCGAUCCAGGCAAAAAUGGGAUGCAAAAAAUGAAUGAAUGAAAUUGAGAAUAUAACAUGCAAAAAGCAUUGACCACAGAUGCAAUGUCUACAACAUGCCCAGCACAACGGCAUUUUCCCCAGUCAGGUCUUCCAAGAUUCUAUCUCCAGCAAGUUGCAUAUCUACCUGCCCUCAGCUAUGGUUCCGACACGUCUCCCAACGACGUCAUCUCCAAAGAGGAUUUCCAAGAAUGUGUAAUAUAGCACGAGCCACUACGUGCCCAAUACUCUAAUGUCUUGCCUUCCCCGUGAAGCCGUGCCUACAAACUGCCAACAGUCAUGCAUUACAAGCAUUCAUACAUGCAUAAUCAUGCAUAUUGCGUACCCAUGCAUUUAAUGAAACUGUUAUAUCAUCCAUGCAUAUCGCAUUUCCAAUGUCAACAUCAGUCUCAAUUUCUACCUUUCAAAUCAAAUCGACGUCAAGUCAAUCUCAAUCUAUAUUUUGUCAAACAAACUAAUCCCCAGUGAAUAUGUUUCUGUUUGGUCAAGUGGCUAGUUCAAGUCCAAGAACAGCUUGUACCUAUCAAUUUGCUUAUGUUAUCGGUCGAGUGCCCAGCUCAAUCCAAGAGCAGCUUGUACCUGUCAAUAUGUUUCCGUUUGGUCAAGUGACUAGCUCAAUCCAAGAGCAGCUUGUACCUAUCUAUCUGUUUGUCUCCGGUGGAGUAACCAGUUCGCAUCCAAGAACAAGCUCGCACCUGUCUAUUUGCCUUGCUUUCAGUCGAGUAACCAGUUCGAAUCCUUAAGAACAACUCGUACCUGCCAAUUUUACAUGUUUUCAGUCGAGUCACCAGUUCGAAUCCAUAAGAACAACUCGUACUUGUCAAUUUUCUCUUUUUCCAGUCGAGUCACCAGUUCGAAUCCAUAAGAACAACUCGCACUUUCCAAUAUCCCCAAGUGAGUUACCAGUUCGAAUCCAUAAGAACAACUCAUGUUUGUCCAGUAACCUCUAUCCCCUGUGAAGUGACCAGUUCGAAUCCGUAAGAACAACUCGCAGUUGUCUGUUUGUUUCAUUCCCGGUCAAGUGGCUAGUUCGAAUCCAAGAGCAGCUUGUACCUGUCCAACUUGUUUCCAGUUUCCCGUUACUCUGCUAUUCACUAUCUUUGUCAAUGUCUACCAAUCCCGCAAUGGAUACGACAUAUUUUGUUAAUUCCAAUCCCCAUGAGGUCUUGCAUUCAUAAUCCAAAUGAUGCAUGGCAUGCAUAUUAUUUGAAAAUGGGAUAGGCGUAUUUUUACGUCCAAACACAGUGCAAAUUGCUAAUAUUUAAGUAUCUUCGUCCUGUCAAGCCAAAGACUCCGUCUCUUGACUGUCCAGACAAAGAAACUUAAAUAGGGGCAGGUGUUAUACCCUGUUUUUGGACCUAAAAAUACUGGGCCCAAUUUCAUUUCAAACUUUGUCAGUUAUCAAAUUUCAACUGCACAGUUCAAUUUGUCUCUGCCUCGCAGUAUUUUCCAUCACAAUUUUACCUAUGUUUUUCUUGCAUAAAACUUUUCAAAAUGUCUUUACUUGUCUUGUAAGGCAUUCAAAAGUGUCUCUGAAUCAUUACAUUGCUUUUUCUACAGUUUAUUUCAAAAUUUGCAAAAAAGUCAUACAGAAGGGUAUUUUGGUCAUUUCCUGCAGUGGGACCCAUUUUCAUCCUUGUGACUGUCUCUGAGUCUUUUCAGAUUGUUUUUUAACAUUUCAUCAGUAAACCCUGUUAAAUUCAUUUCAAACUUGCGUCUGAGUCAGUGUUAAGUCAAUUUCAAUCUGUUUAGGUCAUUUUUAGCCCUAGGGGCAUUUUGGUCAUUUCACACAAAAUUUUGGUAUAGAGAGGUUACUUUGAAGUACCUCAUUUAGGCCGUUGGUUCGUUUUAGUCCGUUUUGUCAAUUUUAUUUUAGUUUCACUUUACGUUUUGUCAGGUUACCAAUUUUAUUCCAAUUUUAUUUUUUUAUUUUAUUUUACAUUUUGGUCCCCAAAGAGGUCCAAAAUUGCAUCCCAGUCCAAUUUUCUUUCCAAUUUACAUUUCAGUCCUUUUUGGUUAAUUGCAGUUUAGUCCUUAAAAUUCUUAUUUUUGCAGAAAGGUCCAAAUUUCAUUUUUUGUCCAAGGCCGUGCCAUUCUUUUUUUUCAGGUCCAGGUGUCACUUUCUCAUUUGUUCGGAAGCACACAUGUCAAGCUAUAAAAGGUGUACAGUGCCACACAGACCCAUUAAUCACACGCCAACUCAUAAACACAAUCAGAUUCUCUCUCUCCAUUCAGUUGGAUCAGAAACAGAAAAUUUCUCAGAAUUUCUCAAGAACACCAAGAACAAAAAACCCUAACCGUUUUCCAGAAACUCAAAAAUUCAUCAGAAUCAACAAUUUUCGCAUCAAUCCUCAGAGAUUCGUGUGAAUCUUCAUCACCGGAUUGAAGAAUUCUCCUACAAUUCAAAGUGCGAGCUCACAUUGAAGCAAGCUCAAGCACUGAUCAUAGGGAUUUUUCACGCAGAUUCAAGGAGUAUUGAAGCAAGCUCAAACACGAAAUCACAGAGAGAGAAGUAGAGGAAGAAUCAGAGAAGAUGAAGAAGCAGAACCGGUAAACCGAUUUAUUUUCGGUCCAAAAGCAAGCAAAAUCAUCAAAAUCAUCAAGAACAGAAUCAAAGUUUUCCAAAGAUUUCCUCCAUUAAAGGUUUCAACCAGAACCUUAGGUAAAACUCAUAAUCUCUUUUCAAGAAGUGUUAAUCAUAGUUUAAACCGGUAAAAAAAAUCACGCAAGCAAAACAGAUCCAAAAUUUCCAGAAUUCAAAGAAAACCGUAACCGUAAGCACGAAACCUAGAUCCGUAAGGAUCUAAGUUUUGAAAACAAGAACAAGCACCAGAGAAGCAGUAAACAACGAAACGAUGUAGAUCCGUGAAGAUCUAAACCUUUUCUUUCAAAAAAUCAAAGAAAAUCAAUUUUCAAAACCGUACGAAAUUUUCAGAUCUACAUCGCAUCAAGCUGUGUUUGGGAAAAUGAUUGCUGGAUUCGUGUUUAGGGUUAAAGGACGAAUCAAAAGACGUAAAAAUCUUUAAGUUCUGGAAAUUUUUCACCGGAAACUGCAUGAACUCACCGGAAACUGCAUGAACUCGCCGGAGAAGAUGAAGUUUCCGGCGGACCUUCAAGGUCUCCGCCGUAGCUUCAUCCUCGCCGGCGGCGAGGUUAGAGAGAGGUGGGAGAUGAGAGAAGAGAGAAGAAUUUAGAGAGAGAAAGGAAAGUGUGAAAUGAUUUAAACCGGUCCCCCUUCACUUUUAUAGCCAGUGAACCGGACCGGUCCAGAACCGGUCCAUUCCCCUUUGAUUCCUGGCCGUUUGAUCUAGGGUUUCAGGAUCCUGGAUCAAUCGUGUGGUUCCUGUGCAUCUGGACCUUGUAGUUUUGGGCUUUGGUUUGGGCUCAAGUUUCUUUUACGUUUUUUUUGCUUUUUUGCUACUUGCACCAUACUUGCCUGCUGUUUGCACCCUUUGUUCAUGUUAAUUUUUAUCAAUAAAUUCCAAGAAAUUUACCAUGUCAUUUUACUAUUUUUCUUGAUAAUUUUCAGUGGUAUUUUGCUUGGAAAAGUUGGUAAAAAUUUUAGUGUUGUUUUGUCAAGGGUUUUUACUAUUUUAAGUCACUUUUCUCGCAUUUUUACCUGUUACUUCAUGUGCAUAAUGUUCGUGUUCGUCAUGUUUGAUUUGCAUACUAUUCCAUAUGAAUUUUGCUACUGUUUGCUAUGCAUAUGUCACUGUUUUGAUGUGUUGAGUUUUGUUCUUGCAUCAUGUGCAUUAUUCAUUACAUGUUUCCGGCUUAUUUUCAUCGUCACUUUACCGUUUUAUGCCGUACUUUCUUCCAUCGCUUCAUGCCAUAUUCUUUCUUUUUUUACCAUUUUCUACUAACAUUUCCUUUCAUAUUGAUCACUUCAUAGCACUUCACCAUCUUCACUAUUGUCUCCAUUAGUUUAGUUUUCUUUUUUUGCAAAUUGUAAUUCAUUCGGUGAUGUAAUAUUUUACCAUUGGUUUGUAGCUUGGCAAAGGGGCCAUAGAAUGUAUUUAGGGAAUUUUUGUAAUAUGGACUAUGGACACUAUGACGCACUGGCACGCACACACUCACCUUAGAUGUAUGCAUAGGAUUGUAUGGUUAGAUAAGCGCUUAGGCUUAAACACUUAGAAAAAAAAUCAACUUUUCCAAGACAUGCAAAUAACCUCACUUGAAAACUUUUUAAGAAAAAAAUAAAAUGGAGUCAAAACUCCAAUAACUUUUCCCUUUUAUUUUCUUAAGUAAAAUUUUCAAUAAAUCCUAAUCCUCCUUGGACUUUACUUUUGCAAAAUGACUAAUUCCACCUCACACUUUCCAAAUCUUAUGCCCUUGAGGCCUCUCAUCUCUAUUCGUCAAAAUCUCUUUUCAAACUUAAAAUCAACCAACGAAAACAAAAACCAUUUUUGAGAAUGAACUACGAACGGUUUUGAUCCCUUAAAAGGGUACGUAGGCAAUGAGUCAAAACUCAUCCAAGCCGAAGUAAAAAUCAAAUUCUGCUUCUUCUCACCCCCAUUCUUCACUAAUCAUACCUCCCCUUUUUUUACAAAUAAGCAAUAAAAUUAAAGCGUAGAAAUAGACUUAGGAGAGCGGUUCUUAUGGAAUACCAUAAUCGCUCCGGGUGCCUAACACCUUCCCGUAGCGAAAACGACCCCCGAAUCUAGAACUUUUUAAGGGUUUUUCUCCUUUUACCCUUCCCAAGAAAAAAGAGAGAUAUCGACGGUCAAAAGGUUCAAGUCCAAUUAAUGGCUUGGCACCCAAAAACCAUGAUAACAGAAAUGGCGACUUCACUGGGGACUUUUUUUUAGCGGGUCGCGCCUAGUUUUCCUUAGUUUAUAUUUACGCUUUGUUUUAUUGCUUACAUAUGUAAAUACUUGUUUACUUUCAUUUAACGUGUGGGGUGAGAAUAUCAAAAGUCCUAUACCCGGGCUGAGUGAACUUAUGAUUAGGUAGAGAUAUAAUCGACAAUUCGAUCCGGGGGUUGCCUCGUGUAUUGGAUUAUGCGAUCAAUCUCACAUAGCUGAGACAUUUUGAAGGUGAUAUUGUCGGCGUGUGUUGUCAUGCUUAGGCACUUCACUUUCAAUUGUUCGACGAAGCUAUGAACCGUAGUUACCAAACCCAUCCUAGCCUUUUUAGGACGUAGUGCGGUGGCUAAAUUGAGUGUUGUCUCAAACUUUAGUCGUCACGCGAUACUACACUCAAACUAGACCUUCUCACAAAUAAUCAUGGAACGGGUGUCGUCCUGUACUACCAUGAUAUAUGUGAGAGAGGUUGCAGUUUGGGAACUGUGUUAGAACCUUGGUUACUACUAUCCAAAGCCUUAGUUCACCGGACGCCGUGUCCAUCCGUGGCCCUGUUACUUUGAAUCUCAACCCACCUUGUUCUUUGUAACUAAACAAAACAACCAUGCAUACAUGCAUUCAUGCAUAAGUUUUUUUUUCACGCAUACAUCGAAGAUUGUUUUAGACAGAUCGAAACAUUGUAAGACACCGCAGGUGUGAACUUGUAUUCAUAAGUUUACCAUUGUAAAACCUUAUUUUGCUUGUUUAACAGUGUUUACAAUGUUUCGAAUUUGUUUAAAAAGUCCUUCGAUGACAUUAAAAAGAGUCGUUUUUGCAUUUGCAUCUGCAUAUCAUGCAUCAUAUGCAUCAUACAUCGGUCACAAAGGCUUCCAAUUGUUCACUACUUCCUGGUUCCUCUGCCACAGUUUGAAAAGUGGCUCGUGCUCAGAAGGUCUACGAACCUGAUAGAAUCGAUCGACCCAGAGAGUACAGAAGAAGGAAAAAGGCUAUGGAAGAAGAGAACGCUCAGCUCCGUACCGAGUUAGCCACUCUAAGGGAGGAAUUGGCUAAAGCUAAUGAUGUCAUGACUGCUCUGCUAGCCGCUCAAGAACAAUCAGCUACGGCUAUCCCUAUAGCCACAGCUGCACCGGUGACUACAAGCGUGCUCCCAACCACAUCUGCAGACGCUCGCUUUGCUAUGACAGCUGGGUUUCCGUAUGGGCUUCCACCGUUCUUCACUCCCAGUACUGCAGCUGGCGUUUCUGGUACUGUCAAUAAUGGCCAGAUUCCUGGGAAGAACCAUGUCUCUGUCAAUACCACCUUGCCUCAGACAACGGCCACUCUGGAUCGAUUGAGCUAUCGGGGAACUCCCUUGGGAAUGAGCACCUUUCUGGUUAAAGCCUUCGACGGAUCCCGUAAGAACAUUCUUGGGGAGAUAGAUCUGCCAAUAACUAUCUGUCCCGAAACCUUUCUGAUCACGUUCCAGGUCAUGGACAUCAAUGCUGCUCAGCUACCUCCGUCGUACACGUAUGCGCAAUACUCUCAGCAUCCCUUCUUUCCACCAUUCUAUCAUCAGUACCCUCUGCCACCGGGUCAACCUCAAGUGCCCGUCAAUGCAAUCGCCCAACAGAUGAAACAACAGUUGCCGGUUCAACAACAACAACAAAAUCAGCAAGCCAGACCUACUUUCCCUCCGAUACCGAUGUUAUAUGCUGAGUUGCUUCCAACUUUACUCCAAAGAGGGCAUUGUACAACUAGACAGGGUAAGCCCCCACCUGAUCCGUUGCCUCCAAGGUUCAGGUCUGAUCUCAAAUGUGACUUUCAUCAAGGUGCCUUAGGUCAUGAUGUCGAGGGGUGUUAUGCUUUGAAGUAUAUCGUGAAGAAGCUCAUUGAUCAAGGGAAGCUGACUUUUGAGAACAACGUCCCUCAUGUCGUCGACAAUCCUCUUCCGAAUCACGCUGCUGUAAACAUGAUUGAGGUAUAUGAGGAAGCUCCCAGAUCGGACGUUUGUAACGUUGCAACUCCUCUGGUGCCACUACACAUCGAGUUAUGCCAAGCCUCUCUGUUUGACCAUGAUCAUGCCAGUUGCCCAGAAUGCUUCCAUAAUCCUUGGGGUUGCUACGUUGUUCAGAAUGACAUCCAGAAACUGAUGAACGACAAUUAUCUGACUGUCAAUGACAUCCAAGAAGGACAAGCUGCUGGCUGGGGCAAGUUAAUACAACUCCUUGAGAAUAAGCAUAAAGAGGGUCUCGGAUAUUCCCCAACUUCAGGAGUCUCCACAUGAAUCUUCUACAGUGCUGAGUUUAUCAAUGCAAUUACUGAAGAGGCGACUGGAUGUAGUCCUAGGCCUAUGUUUGUUAUACCAGGAGGCAUUGCGAGAAAUUGUGAUGCCAUCAACAUUCAUUCAAUCAUGCAUGUUUCCGAAUAAUGUGUCUUGUUGCUUAAGUGUUUUGUUUUUCAAAAUAACCAUCCUCUCGCUCUGCCCGAAGCGAAAGUGAUAUUUCUGGAAGGGCGUGUUUGUUUCGGCAUCGCCGUUAUUAACAAAAAUCGUCGUUUCUUUCACGACUUUUAUUUUUUAGUGAUUUUUUUUUUUUAUUUUUUUCUUGGAAAUAAUGGUAAUACCAGAAAAAACCAAAACAUCUUUAUUUUUCUUAUCAAUUUCAAAGAACUGCAUAAAAGAGAAAAAAAAAAAACCAUUUUCUAAAAUCAUUCAACCAUUCUAUGCAGUUUGAACCAUAAUAAACCCGUUGAACACAGUAAUCCUACGGUUCCUCCAAAUUUUGAAUUCCCUGUGUAUGAAGCCGAAGAUGAAGAGGAUGAUGAUGUACCAUAUGAGAUCACUCGACUGCUUGAGCAAGAAUCAGCCUAUUGUAUGGAACGAUGAAUGCCAAGAAGCUUUUGAUAGCAUCAAGAAUUACCUGCUGGAACCACCUAUCCUUGUCCCACCCGUGGAAGGAAGGCCUUUGAUCAUGUAUUUGGCAGUAUUUGAUGAAUCCAUGGGAUGCGUGCUUGGUCAACAAGAUGAAACUGGAAAGAAAGAGCAUGCUAUCUACUAUCUGAGCAAGAAGUUCACCGACUGUGAAACUCGGUAUACAAUGCUUGAGAAGACUUGUUGUGCCCUAGCUUGGGCUGCCAAACGCCUGCGUCAUUAUUUGGUGAAUCAUACAACUUGGUUGAUAUCCAGAAUGGAUCCGAUAAAGUAUAUCUUUGAGAAAGCUGCUGUUACUGGAAAGAUUGCACGCUGGCAGAUGCUUUUGUCUGAGUAUGAUAUUGUGUUCAAAACUCAAAAGGCAAUCAAAGGUAGCAUUCUUGCCGAUCACCUUGCUUAUCAACCUCUUGAUGAUUAUCAACCAAUUGAGUUCGAUUUCCCCGAUGAAGAGAUCAUGUAUUUGAAAUCAAAAGACUGCGAAGAACUGUUGAUUAAUGAAGGUCCAGAUCCCAAUAGCAGGUGGGGUUUAGUCUUUGAUGGUGCUGUCAAUGCUUAUGGUAAAGGAAUUGGGGCAGUCAUUGUAUCCCCGCAGGGGCAUCAUAUUCCUUUUACCGCCCGAAUUUUGUUUGAAUGUACCAACAACAUGGCUGAGUAUGAAGCAUGUAUCUUCGGGAUCGAGGAAGCAAUUGACAUGAGAAUCAAGCACCUCGACAUCUAUGGAGAUUCGGCGCUCGUCAUCAAUCAGAUAAAGGGUGAAUGGGAGACCCAUCAUGCUAAGUUGAUUCCUUAUCGGGAUUAUGCGAGACGUCUUCUGACAUAUUUUACAAAGGUUGAGCUGCACCAUAUUCCUCGUGAUGAGAACCAAAUGGCUGAUGCUCUUGCUACUCUAUCCUCCAUGUUUCGAGUAAACCAUUGGAAUGAUGUGCCAGUAAUCAAAGUGCAGCGCCUUGAAAGACCUUCACAUGUGUUUGCUAUUGGGGAUGUGAUCGAUCAGGCUGGUGAAAAUGUGGUUGACUAUAGACCCUGGUACUACGACAUCAAACAGUUCUUGCUGAGCCGUGAGUAUCCGUCGGGUGCUUCCAAACAAGAUAAGAAGACCCUGAGAAGAUUGGCCAGUAGAUUCCUGUUAGAUGGAGAUAUUCUGUACAAGAGAAACUAUGACAUGGUAUUGUUAAGAUGUGUUGAUGAACACGAGGCAGAGCAGUUAAUGCAUGAUGUACAUGACGGUACCUUCGGGACCCAUGCUACAGGGCAUACUAUGUCAAGGAAGUUGUUACGAGCAGGUUACUACUGGAUGGCCAUGGAGCAUGAUUGCUACCAGUACGCCAGAAAAUGCCACAAAUGUCAAAUCUAUGCUGAUAAGAUUCAUGUGCCUCCGCACGCUCUCAAUGUUAUGUCAUCCCCAUGGCCGUUCUCAAUGUGGGGCAUCGACAUGAUUGGAAGAAUUGAACCGAAAGCUUCAAAUGGUCAUCGUUUCAUCUUAGUGGCAAUUGACUACUUUACCAAGUGGGUUGAAGCAGCAUCUUAUACCAAUGUGACCAAGCAAGUGGUAGCUAAGUUCAUCAAGAACAACAUCAUUUGUCGAUAUGGUGUUCCCAGCAAGAUUAUUACCGACAAUGGUACCAACCUGAAUAACAAUGUGGUGCAAGCUCUUUGUGAAGAAUUCAAAAUUGAGCAUCAUAACUCUUCUCCCUAUAGACCUCAGAUGAAUGGUGCAGUUGAGGCCGCCAACAAGAAUAUCAAGAGAAUUGUCCAGAAGAUGGUAACCACUUACAAGGACUGGCAUGAGAUGUUACCCUAUGCUCUGCAUGGCUACCGUACUACCAUGCGCAGUUCAACCGGGGCAACCCCUUUCUCUCUUGUAUAUGGUAUGGAAGCAGUUCUUCCUUUGGAAGUGGAGAUCCCAUCUCUCCGUGUGAUCAUGGAAGCAAAGUUAUCUGAGGCUGAAUGGUGCCAAAGCCGGUAUGAUCAGUUGAAUUUGAUUGAGGAAAAAACGUAUGGAUGCCAUGGCUCGUGGACAGUCAUAUCAAGCAAGAAUGAAGACUGCCUUUGACAAGAAAGUCCAUCCUCGAGAAUUCAAGGUAGGGGAACUGGUAUUGAAAAGGAGGGUAAGCCAGCAACCCGACCCAAGGGGCAAGUGGACGCCUAACUAUGAAGGUCCUUAUGUUGUCAAGAAGGCCUUCUCCGGUGGUGCUUUAAUCCUUACGCACAUGGAUGGUGUAGAACUUCCAAAUCCAGUGAAUGCCGAUAUAGUCAAGAAAUACUUUGCCUAGAAAUAUGAAAAGAACAGCGUGGUAGGUUGAAAACCCGAAAGGGCGGCCUAGGCAAAAAUGCGCUUCCCGGUGGAUCGAAAACCCGAAAGGGCGGUCCAGGCAAAAAUAAGGGACAAAACAAAUAUGAAAAGCUCGCUGAGAUUGUACGCAACUCAGGCAAGAAUGAGCGUCUCGAUGAGCCGAAAACCCGAAAGGGCGGUUCAUGCAAAAAUGAGAUUGAAACAAAAGGCAAGUAACUAUAUCUGGCCAACCACCGUCCCCCUUGGGGCAUCUGCUGCCGUUGAUGACUAUCUUCAUCUAAAGCUCCUACGCUUGCGAAUUCAAAGUUUCCAGGAAAUGUAAUGAUUGCUGUGUUCAAUGUACCACCAACCAAUAAAAUUACCAUUUUCCAAGCUUUGUGAAUCCGUGGAGUCAUGCCUUUGGCUGACCACCACUCUUAUACAUCAAUUUGAGCCUUUGCUUUUGUUUGAAAACUCUAUUUUUUCUUCUACUUUCAAAGCUAUAUACAAAACAUUUUCUUUCUAUUUUGAUAAUGACAAUGCUUGAAACAAACAUUUUGAAAAUUGAAAACUUUUUGUCUAUUUUGAAAAGCAAACCUGAGCAACAGGGUACAUUCAAAUGAAACAUGCAUGAGUGAGAGUAUGUUGAUGUCUAUUUCAAUAUGUGUUACAAGCAGGUUCUCCUCCAGGAUAGUCUGUGGUCAAUGGCAAGAAUGAAAAAACAGAAUGAAAAUGCAUGAAAAUGAAAAGGCUCGCUAAGUUGAAAACCCGGAAGGGCGGCUUAGGCAAGAAUGAGCACCCCGCUGGAUUGAAAACCCGAAAGGGCAGUUCAGGCAAAAAUGGGGCAUUGAAAAGAAUUUAUUUCCCCGGUGGAUCGAAAACCCGAAAGGGCGAUCCAGGCAAAAAUGGGAUGCAAAAAAUGAAUGAAUGAAAUUGAGAAUAUAACAUGCAAAAAGCAUUGACCACAGAUGCAAUGUCUACAACAUGCCCAGCACAACGGCAUUUUCCCCAGUCAGGUCUUCCAAGAUUCUAUCUCCAGCAAGUUGCAUAUCUACCUGCCCUCAGCUAUGGUUCCGACACGUCUCCCAACGACGUCAUCUCCAAAGAGGAUUUCCAAGAAUGUGUAAUAUAGCACGAGCCACUACGUGCCCAAUACUCUAAUGUCUUGCCUUCCCCGUGAAGCCGUGCCUACAAACUGCCAACAGUCAUGCAUUACAAGCAUUCAUACAUGCAUAAUCAUGCAUAUUGCGUACCCAUGCAUUUAAUGAAACUGUUAUAUCAUCCAUGCAUAUCGCAUUUCCAAUGUCAACAUCAGUCUCAAUUUCUACCUUUCAAAUCAAAUCGACGUCAAGUCAAUCUCAAUCUAUAUUUUGUCAAACAAACUAAUCCCCAGUGAAUAUGUUUCUGUUUGGUCAAGUGGCUAGUUCAAGUCCAAGAACAGCUUGUACCUAUCAAUUUGCUUAUGUUAUCGGUCGAGUGCCCAGCUCAAUCCAAGAGCAGCUUGUACCUGUCAAUAUGUUUCCGUUUGGUCAAGUGACUAGCUCAAUCCAAGAGCAGCUUGUACCUAUCUAUCUGUUUGUCUCCGGUGGAGUAACCAGUUCGCAUCCAAGAACAAGCUCGCACCUGUCUAUUUGCCUUGCUUUCAGUCGAGUAACCAGUUCGAAUCCUUAAGAACAACUCGUACCUGCCAAUUUUACAUGUUUUCAGUCGAGUCACCAGUUCGAAUCCAUAAGAACAACUCGCACUUUCCAAUAUCCCCAAGUGAGUUACCAGUUCGAAUCCAUAAGAACAACUCGCACUUUCCAAUAUCCCCAAGUGAGUUACCAGUUCGAAUCCAUAAGAACAACUCAUGUUUGUCCAGUAACCUCUAUCCCCUGUGAAGUGACCAGUUCGAAUCCGUAAGAACAACUCGCAGUUGUCUGUUUGUUUCAUUCCCGGUCAAGUGGCUAGUUCGAAUCCAAGAGCAGCUUGUACCUGUCCAACUUGUUUCCAGUUUCCCGUUACUCUGCUAUUCACUAUCUUUGUCAAUGUCUACCAAUCCCGCAAUGGAUACGACAUAUUUUGUUAAUUCCAAUCCCCAUGAGGUCUUGCAUUCAUAAUCCAAAUGAUGCAUGGCAUGCAUAUUAUUUGAAAAUGGGAUAGGCGUAUUUUUACGUCCAAACACAGUGCAAAUUGCUAAUAUUUAAGUAUCUUCGUCCUGUCAAGCCAAAGACUCCGUCUCUUGACUGUCCAGACAAAGAAACUUAAAUAGGGGCAGGUGUUAUACCCUGUUUUUGGACCUAAAAAUACUGGGCCCAAUUUCAUUUCAAACUUUGUCAGUUAUCAAAUUUCAACUGCACAGUUCAAUUUGUCUCUGCCUCGCAGUAUUUUCCAUCACAAUUUUACCUAUGUUUUUCUUGCACAAAACUUUUCAAAAUGUCUUUACUUGUCUUGUAAGGCAUUCAAAAGUGUCUCUGAAUCAUUACAUUGCUUUUUCUACAGUUUAUUUCAAAAUUUGCAAAAAAGUCAUACAGAAGGGUAUUUUGGUCAUUUCCUGCAGUGGGACCCAUUUUCAUCCUUGUGACUGUCUCUGAGUCUUUUCAGAUUGUUUUUUAACAUUUCAUCAGUAAACCCUGUUAAAUUCAUUUCAAACUUGCGUCUGAGUCAGUGUUAAGUCAAUUUCAAUCUGUUUAGGUCAUUUUUAGCCCUAGGGGCAUUUUGGUCAUUUCACACAAAAUUUUGGCAUAGAGAGGUUACUUUGAAGUACCUCAUUUAGGCCGUUGGUUCGUUUUAGUCCGUUUUGUCAAUUUUAUUUUAGUUUCACUUUACGUUUUGUCAGGUUACCAAUUUUAUUCCAAUUUUAUUUUUUUAUUUUAUUUUACAUUUUGGUCCCCAAAGAGGUCCAAAAUUGCAUCCCAGUCCAAUUUUCUUUCCAAUUUACAUUUCAGUCCUUUUUGGUUAAUUGCAGUUUAGUCCUUAAAAUUCUUAUUUUUGCAGAAAGGUCCAAAUUUCAUUUUUUGUCCAAGGCCGUGCCAUUCUUUUUUUUCAGGUCCAGGUGUCACUUUCUCAUUUGUUCGGAAGCACACAUGUCAAGCUAUAAAAGGUGUACAGUGCCACACAGACCCAUUAAUCACACGCCAACUCAUAAACACAAUCAGAUUCUCUCUCUCCAUUCAGUUGGAUCAGAAACAGAAAAUUUCUCAGAAUUUCUCAAGAACACCAAGAACAAAAAACCCUAACCGUUUUCCAGAAACUCAAAAAUUCAUCAGAAUCAACAAUUUUCGCAUCAAUCCUCAGAGAUUCGUGUGAAUCUUCAUCACCGGAUUGAAGAAUUCUCCUACAAUUCAAAGUGCGAGCUCACAUUGAAGCAAGCUCAAGCACUGAUCAUAGGGAUUUUUCACGCAGAUUCAAGGAGUAUUGAAGCAAGCUCAAACACGAAAUCACAGAGAGAGAAGUAGAGGAAGAAUCAGAGAAGAUGAAGAAGCAGAACCGGUAAACCGAUUUAUUUUCGGUCCAAAAGCAAGCAAAAUCAUCAAAAUCAUCAAGAACAGAAUCAAAGUUUUCCAAAGAUUUCCUCCAUUAAAGGUUUCAACCAGAACCUUAGGUAAAACUCAUAAUCUCUUUUCAAGAAGUGUUAAUCAUAGUUUAAACCGGUAAAAAAAAUCACGCAAGCAAAACAGAUCCAAAAUUUCCAGAAUUCAAAGAAAACCGUAACCGUAAGCACGAAACCUAGAUCCGUAAGGAUCUAAGUUUUGAAAACAAGAACAAGCACCAGAGAAGCAGUAAACAACGAAACGAUGUAGAUCCGUGAAGAUCUAAACCUUUUCUUUCAAAAAAUCAAAGAAAAUCAAUUUUCAAAACCGUACGAAAUUUUCAGAUCUACAUCGCAUCAAGCUGUGUUUGGGAAAAUGAUUGCUGGAUUCGUGUUUAGGGUUAAAGGACGAAUCAAAAGACGUAAAAAUCUUUAAGUUCUGGAAAUUUUUCACCGGAAACUGCAUGAACUCACCGGAAACUGCAUGAACUCGCCGGAGAAGAUGAAGUUUCCGGCGGACCUUCAAGGUCUCCGCCGUAGCUUCAUCCUCGCCGGCGGCGAGGUUAGAGAGAGGUGGGAGAUGAGAGAAGAGAGAAGAAUUUAGAGAGAGAAAGGAAAGUGUGAAAUGAUUUAAACCGGUCCCCCUUCACUUUUAUAGCCAGUGAACCGGACCGGUCCAGAACCGGUCCAUUCCCCUUUGAUUCCUGGCCGUUUGAUCUAGGGUUUCAGGAUCCUGGAUCAAUCGUGUGGUUCCUGUGCAUCUGGACCUUGUAGUUUUGGGCUUUGGUUUGGGCUCAAGUUUCUUUUACGUUUUUUUUGCUUUUUUGCUACUUGCACCAUACUUGCCUGCUGUUUGCACCCUUUGUUCAUGUUAAUUUUUAUCAAUAAAUUCCAAGAAAUUUACCAUGUCAUUUUACUAUUUUUCUUGAUAAUUUUCAGUGGUAUUUUGCUUGGAAAAGUUGGUAAAAAUUUUAGUGUUGUUUUGUCAAGGGUUUUUACUAUUUUAAGUCACUUUUCUCGCAUUUUUACCUGUUACUUCAUGUGCAUAAUGUUCGUGUUCGUCAUGUUUGAUUUGCAUACUAUUCCAUAUGAAUUUUGCUACUGUUUGCUAUGCAUAUGUCACUGUUUUGAUGUGUUGAGUUUUGUUCUUGCAUCAUGUGCAUUAUUCAUUACAUGUUUCCGGCUUAUUUUCAUCGUCACUUUACCGUUUUAUGCCGUACUUUCUUCCAUCGCUUCAUGCCAUAUUCUUUCUUUUUUUACCAUUUUCUACUAACAUUUCCUUUCAUAUUGAUCACUUCAUAGCACUUCACCAUCUUCACUAUUGUCUCCAUUAGUUUAGUUUUCUUUUUUUGCAAAUUGUAAUUCAUUCGGUGAUGUAAUAUUUUACCAUUGGUUUGUAGCUUGGCAAAGGGGCCAUAGAAUGUAUUUAGGGAAUUUUUGUAAUAUGGACUAUGGACACUAUGACGCACUGGCACGCACACACUCACCUUAGAUGUAUGCAUAGGAUUGUAUGGUUAGAUAAGCGCUUAGGCUUAAACACUUAGAAAAAAAAUCAACUUUUCCAAGACAUGCAAAUAACCUCACUUGAAAACUUUUUAAGAAAAAAAUAAAAUGGAGUCAAAACUCCAAUAACUUUUCCCUUUUAUUUUCUUAAGUAAAAUUUUCAAUAAAUCCUAAUCCUCCUUGGACUUUACUUUUGCAAAAUGACUAAUUCCACCUCACACUUUCCAAAUCUUAUGCCCUUGAGGCCUCUCAUCUCUAUUCUUCAAAAUCUCUUUUCAAACUUAAAAUCAACCAACAAAAACAAAAACCAUUUUUGAGAAUGAACUACGAACGGUUUUGAUCCCUUAAAAGGGUACGUAGGCAAUGAGUCAAAACUCAUCCAAGCCGAAGUAAAAAUCAAAUUCUGCUUCUUCUCACCCCCAUUCUUCACUAAUCAUACCUCCCCUUUUUUUACAAAUAAGCAAUAAAAUUAAAGCGUAGAAAUAGACUUAGGAGAGCGGUUCUUAUGGAAUACCAUAAUCGCUCCGGGUGCCUAACACCUUCCCGUAGCGAAAACGACCCCCGAAUCUAGAACUUUUUAAGGGUUUUUCUCCUUUUACCCUUCCCAAGAAAAAAGAGAGAUAUCGACGGUCAAAAGGUUCAAGUCCAAUUAAUGGCUUGGCACCCAAAAACCAUGAUAACACCAGGCCACCGUUGUCGUCGUCAAUUUCACCUCCUUAUUGUUCACACAGACUAACCUGAAGCCACAGAGGAAGCCACCCACUUAACCCUAUCAUCAAAUGAAUCCGACCCACAACCCGACCCGAAUACCCUGUCCGAAACCGAACCAGCCCAAAUAAGCCUACAUGCCUUAAUGGGCCAUUCUAUCCCACAAACCCUACGAAUCACUGGACACAUCAACAAAAAACCCGUUAACAUACUCAUUGACAGUGGUAGCACCCACAAUUUCCUGCAAGACAGAAUAGCCAAGCAUCUGGGUCUCCAACUACAACCAGCUCCACAAUUCCAAGUUUUGGUAGGUAAUGGAGAGGAACUGAAAUGUACAGCUAUGUGUUCCAAGGUACAAUUGAUGCUAGGUCCUCAUGAAUUCUCAAUAGAAUUGUUUGUUUUACCACUGAGUGGUGCUGAACUUGUACUUGGGGUUCAGUGGCUGAAAACGCUGGGCCCAAUUGUCACGGAUUACAACCAACUUACUAUGAGCUUCAUUAAAAAUGGCCACCACAUCCUUUUAUCUGGGGAACCAAAACCAGCGCCUGAAGAGGCCUCCCUUCACCAACUCCAAAGACUAGUAAACACUGAUGCCAUUGAUACAUUAAUUCAACUCCAGAAAAUUACCCCCACCACACCAUCCACACCAUCUGAACAUUCAGAUGCUCGUAUCAACACCCUCCUCAAAGAAUAUUCUACUCUAUUUGCAACCCCUCACACUUUACCUCCACCACGCCCCAUUGACCACAAAAUCCCACUAAUUGACAACAAUCAGAUUGCCAAUGUUCGUCCCUACCGUUACCCUCACUUUCAAAAGAAAGAAAUUGAAACCCAAAUCCGUGACAUGCUGGCUAAUGGUAUCGUUCAACAGAAUUCUAGUCCUUUUCCUCACCGGUCCUCCUUGUCCGGAAAAAGGAUGGCUCUUGGCGAUUUUGUGUUGAUUAUAGAGCUCUUAAUGCUCUGAUUGUGAAGGACCGUUUUCCGAUACCGGCAAUCGAUGAAUUACUUGAUGAAUUGCACGGUACACGUUGGUUCUCCAAGCUUGACCUCCGCUCCGGGUACCAUCAGAUUCGAAUGGCUCCCCAAGACACUCACAAAACAGCUUUUCGUACACAUCAAGGUCACUACGAGUUCCUUGUCAUGCCAUUUGGACUCUCCAAUGCACCCUCUACCUUCCAAUCCGAAAUGAAUCUGAUCUUUCAGCCAUAUCUCCGACAGUUCGUCAUUGUCUUCUUCGAUGAUAUUCUAGUUUAUAGUCAUACACUAGAGGAUCACAUUCAUCAUUUAGAGGUGGUAUAUGGUUGUCUUGUCGAAAAUCAGUUCUGUCUCAAGUAUUCAAAAUGCUCAUUUGCUCAAAAUUCCAUUGUCUACCUAGGACAUGUGAUUUCGGACUCAGGUGUCGGACCUGACCCCGAAAAGAUUCGGGCUAUGGUGGAGUGGCCUCAACCUCGAUCAGUCAAGCACCUCAGAGGUUUCCUUGGUUUAACCGGAUUUUAUCGCAAAUUUGUGCGCAACUACGCUGCCAUCGCAGCACCUCUCACCGACUUACUAAAGAAAGACGCCUUUCUUUGGACUUAAUCGGCCCAAAAAGCUUUUGACACAUUGAAGCAAGCAAUGACCGAAGCACCGGUACUCACUCUCCCAAAUUUUUCUAAACCAUUUAUACUAGAAACUGGCGCUUCAGGCUCAGGCAUGGGAGCAGUUUUAAUUCAAGAAGGUCACCCAAUCUGUUUUUUUAGCAAACAGUUCUGUCCAAGGAUGUUAGCAGCUUCUACAUAUGUUAGAGAGCUCUGCGCCAUUACAUCUGCAGUAAAAAAGUGGCGUACGUAUCUUCUUGGGAACAAAUUUGUGAUACACACGGAUCAAAGGAGUCUAAGGGAGCUAAUGACCCAGGUGAUUCAGACACCUGAACAACAACUUUACUUGGCAAAGUUGUUAGGGUACUCAUAUGAGAUCAUGUACAAAGUCAUAGUCACAUCUGUUAAGAUAAGGCUUCAAUAGUACUAGUGUGCCAGUCUGUUAGAAUAUGCUCUUUCUCUAACAAAGGGAAAGGACUAUAUAAUGUAUUAUUGACCCAAUAAAUAAAACAGAUGAGUAUUGAAGAAAGUUGUUUUUAGUUAUUACUUCUUUUUCCUUUUCCUUAUUCUCUGAUCUUGUUCUGCUUAACAAAUUCACCAUCUUACAGUUUGCUCUCUAACCACUCCUGAAGAAGCAUGUGAAGCGUCCGGCGUCAUAUCUGAACAUCAAUAAUAUUUUCUCAUGA
Molecule: long non-coding RNA, 30548 nt
Filed under: Medicago truncatula (barrel medic)
Lineage: Eukaryota; Viridiplantae; Streptophyta; Magnoliopsida; Fabales; Fabaceae
Description: long non-coding RNA (MTRU_LNC000219)
Source: RNAcentral